This 397-nucleotide ribosomal RNA is filed under the name uncultured bacterium. RNAcentral's name for it is "partial 16S ribosomal RNA". It matches the Rfam family "Bacterial small subunit ribosomal RNA", at positions 523 to 918 of the family's 1533-position model. The record is from RNAcentral.
AUACGUAGGUGGCAAGCGUUGUCCGGAAUUAUUGGGCGUAAAGCGCGCGCAGGCGGUCCUUUAAGUCUGAUGUGAAAGCCCACGGCUCAACCGUGGAGGGUCAUUGGAAACUGGGGGACUUGAGUGCAGAAGAGGAAAGUGGAAUUCCAAGUGUAGCGGUGAAAUGCGUAGAGAUUUGGAGGAACACCAGUGGCGAAGGCGACUUUCUGGUCUGUAGCUGACGCUGAGGCGCGAAAGCGUGGGGAGCAAACAGGAUUAGAUACCCUGGUAGUCCACGCCGUAAACGAUGAGUGCUAAGUGUUAGGGGGUUUCCGCCCCUUAGUGCUGCAGCUAACGCAUUAAGCACUCCGCCUGGGGAGUACGGUCGCAAGACUGAAACUCAAAGGAAUUGACGGGG